GGGUUGUGAGGUUAAGCGACUAAGCGUACACGGUGGAUGCCCUGGCAGUCAGAGGCGAUGAAGGGCGUGCUAAUCUGCGAUAAGCGCCGGUAAGGUGAUAUGAACCGUUAUAACCGGCGAUACCCGAAUGGGGAAACCCAGUGUGACUCGUCACACUAUCAUUAACUGAAUCCAUAGGUUAAUGAGGCGAACCGGGGGAACUGAAACAUCUAAGUACCCCGAGGAAAAGAAAUCAACCGAGAUUCCCCCAGUAGCGGCGAGCGAACGGGGAGGAGCCCAGAGCCUGAAUCAGCAUGUGUGUUAGUGGAAGCGUCUGGAAAGGCGCGCGAUACAGGGUGACAGCCCCGUACACAAAAGCGCAUGUGCUGUGAGCUCGAUGAGUAGGGCGGGACACGUGGUAUCCUGUCUGAAUAUGGGGGGACCAUCCUCCAAGGCUAAAUACUCCUGACUGACCGAUAGUGAACCAGUACCGUGAGGGAAAGGCGAAAAGAACCCCGGCGAGGGGAGUGAAAAAGAACCUGAAACCGUGUACGUACAAGCAGUGGGAGCACAGNNNNNNNNNNNNNNNNGCGUACCUUUUGUAUAAUGGGUCAGCGACUUAUAUUCUGUAGCAAGGUUAACCGAAUAGGGGAGCCGGAGGGAAACCGAGUCUUAAUUGGGCGUUAAGUUGCAGGGUAUAGACCCGAAACCCGGUGAUCUAGCCAUGGGCAGGUUGAAGGUUGGGUAACACUAACUGGAGGACCGAACCGACUAAUGUUGAAAAAUUAGCGGAUGACCUGUGGCUGGGGGUGAAAGGCCAAUCAAACCGGGAGAUAGCUGGUUCUCCCCGAAAGCUAUUUAGGUAGCGCCUCGUGAAUUCAUCUCCGGGGGUAGAGCACUGUUUCGGCUAGGGGGCCAUCCCGGCUUACCAACCCGAUGCAAACUGCGAAUACCGGAGAAUGUUAUCACGGGAGACACACGGCGGGUGCUAACGUCCGUCGUGAAGAGGGAAACAACCCAGACCGCCAGCUAAGGUCCCAAAGUCAUGGUUAAGUGGGAAACGAUGUGGGAAGGCCCAGACAGCCAGGAUGUUGGCUUAGAAGCAGCCAUCAUUUAAAGAAAGCGUAAUAGCUCACUGGUCGAGUCGGCCUGCGCGGAAGAUGUAACGGGGCUAAACCAUGCACCGAAGCUGCGGCAGCGACACUGUGUGUUGUUGGGUAGGGGAGCGUUCUGUAAGCCUGCGAAGGUGGCCUGUGAGGGUUGCUGGAGGUAUCAGAAGUGCGAAUGCUGACAUAAGUAACGAUAAAGCGGGUGAAAAGCCCGCUCGCCGGAAGACCAAGGGUUCCUGUCCAACGUUAAUCGGGGCAGGGUGAGUCGACCCCUAAGGCGAGGCCGAAAGGCGUAGUCGAUGGGAAACGGGUUAAUAUUCCCGUACUUGGUGUUACUGCGAAGGGGGGACGGAGAAGGCUAUGUUGGCCGGGCGACGGUUGUCCCGGUUUAAGCGUGUAGGUGUGUGUUCCAGGUAAAUCCGGUUCACUUUAACACUGAGGCGUGACGACGAGGCACUACGGUGCUGAAGCAACAAAUGCCCUGCUUCCAGGAAAAGCCUCUAAGCAUCAGGUAACAUCAAAUCGUACCCCAAACCGACACAGGUGGUCAGGUAGAGAAUACCAAGGCGCUUGAGAGAACUCGGGUGAAGGAACUAGGCAAAAUGGUGCCGUAACUUCGGGAGAAGGCACGCUGACACGUAGGUGAAGUGAUUUACUCAUGGAGCUGAAGUCAGUCGAAGAUACCAGCUGGCUGCAACUGUUUAUUAAAAACACAGCACUGUGCAAACACGAAAGUGGACGUAUACGGUGUGACGCCUGCCCGGUGCCGGAAGGUUAAUUGAUGGGGUCAGCGCAAGCGAAGCUCCUGAUCGAAGCCCCGGUAAACGGCGGCCGUAACUAUAACGGUCCUAAGGUAGCGAAAUUCCUUGUCGGGUAAGUUCCGACCUGCACGAAUGGCGUAAUGAUGGCCAGGCUGUCUCCACCCGAGACUCAGUGAAAUUGAACUCGCUGUGAAGAUGCAGUGUACCCGCGGCAAGACGGAAAGACCCCGUGAACCUUUACUAUAGCUUGACACUGAACAUUGAGCCUUGAUGUGUAGGAUAGGUGGGAGGCUUUGAAGUGUGGACGCCAGUCUGCAUGGAGCCGACCUUGAAAUACCACCCUUUAAUGUUUGAUGUUCUAACGUGGACCCGUUACCCGGGUUGCGGACAGUGUCUGGUGGGUAGUUUGACUGGGGCGGUCUCCUCCUAAAGAGUAACGGAGGAGCACGAAGGUUGGCUAAUCCUGGUCGGACAUCAGGAGGUUAGUGCAAUGGCAUAAGCCAGCUUGACUGCGAGCGUGACGGCGCGAGCAGGUGCGAAAGCAGGUCAUAGUGAUCCGGUGGUUCUGAAUGGAAGGGCCAUCGCUCAACGGAUAAAAGGUACUCCGGGGAUAACAGGCUGAUACCGCCCAAGAGUUCAUAUCGACGGCGGUGUUUGGCACCUCGAUGUCGGCUCAUCACAUCCUGGGGCUGAAGUAGGUCCCAAGGGUAUGGCUGUUCGCCAUUUAAAGUGGUACGCGAGCUGGGUUUAGAACGUCGUGAGACAGUUCGGUCCCUAUCUGCCGUGGGCGCUGGAGAACUGAGGGGGGCUGCUCCUAGUACGAGAGGACCGGAGUGGACGCAUCACUGGUGUUCGGGUUGUCAUGCCAAUGGCACUGCCCGGUAGCUAAAUGCGGAAGAGAUAAGUGCUGAAAGCAUCUAAGCACGAAACUUGCCCCGAGAUGAGUUCUCCCUGAGACUUAAAGUCUCCUGAAGGAACGUUGAAGACGACGACGUUGAUAGGCCGGGUGUGUAAGCGCAGCGAUGCGUUGAGCUAACCGGUACUAAUGAACCGUGAGGCUUAACCUUACAACGCCGAAG
RNAcentral lists this ribosomal RNA (2928 nucleotides) under Salmonella enterica subsp. enterica serovar Enteritidis str. SA20094079. RNAcentral's name for it is "bacterial LSU rRNA". It matches the Rfam family "Bacterial large subunit ribosomal RNA". The record is from RNAcentral. Lineage: Bacteria; Pseudomonadati; Pseudomonadota; Gammaproteobacteria; Enterobacterales; Enterobacteriaceae.